CUUCUGAGGCCAGGACGGCUCCAUGAGGGCCGGGACCUCCUACCUCCAAUACCUCUCGUCCAGGCUCCCAGAGCCUCCUUCCCCUCCCCCUUCCCCAAUGUCCAGGGCUCCUCAGCCCCUGUCCCCACGCCGGCCUAAGAGCUCAUCGCCAUAUUAAGAAAGGAAAAAGCUGGAGCUAAAAAUAAGACCAGAUGAGUCGGAGGGCACAGUGGGAAAGGGAGGAUUCCUCAGACUGAAUGACUCCAAGGAGAGCGAAGAACGACUGUUCAUUCCUGCAUCUCUGACAAGACCGAAAGGACCAGCACAGCCAACCCUCUCCUCAUGAGGAAGCCUGACAGUGAGCUGACCCACCGGGCACAGCGGACUAGCUCAAGAAACAAGAGCCAGUGAGUGGGCGAAGAGGAAGGGAGAGCUGCCGCCGAAAGCGGGCAGGAGAGAAGCGCUGCCGGGGCUGCUCGCCUCCCCGAGACGCGGCCAGGGCUGGGCCCAGGCUCGGAGACCAGGCUUUGGGCACGUCCGUCACCCCGUGGGGAGCUGGGGCACGAGGGGGUGGGAGCUUUGCCCGAAGUGAAAGCUACAGGGAUCCAGACUGCAUUGUUUCUGGCUCUAUUUCUUUCUCUUUUUUUUAAUGGCGGUCAGUACUGGGGAUAGAACCCAGGACCCCGCGUAUCCUAAGCACGCACUCUACCACUGAGUGAUACUCCAGCCCCCACUCCCCCACCAGCCUCUAUAUCAAAGCUACACCAGAGAAAACAGCCCAGGGACGGGAUGCGGUCGAGAUGCCCUAAUGACUUGGAGGAAAGGCCAGGGAGCACCAUUCCCUCCUGCAGAGGAGGGGCUGCAGCCCCACAUCCGCCACUCACCACGUGACCCCUCCCAAGUCAUUAACCACUCUGGACCUGAAGCUCUUCAUCCAUGAAAUAAGGCCUCUCCUAGCACGAAAACUGAUUCUGUAAGUUGAUCUGAGGAACUGAGUGGGCUCUGUGAUCCCUCUGUAAGGUGUGGCUCCCCCCUCCUCUCUCACCUCCUGGGUUUCUCUGAAUCCAGCUUGGCUUGUCCUGCCCUGGCUCUCCAGUUGGUUGGACAGUGACUUUGAGGCAAAGAUGCUUGAUUCUGAUCCCCUCCCAGCCUCGACUGUGGUCCCUGAAAAACUUCCCCUGCCUGGCUACCGUGAAGAUCUAAGAAGAGAGGUGUCCCAGUGAUCCCCGUUUUCCAAAAAUCAGAAGCGACACAUCUGACAGCUGAGGGCUGUUGCAAACAUUUACUGUCUUGAUGGGGUACUGAACCUCCCCACUGGACUCCAGUCAGACACAGGCUGGGCUUCCCCUCUCCUACCCG
Molecule: non-coding RNA, 1338 nt
Organism: Vicugna pacos (alpaca)
Lineage: Eukaryota; Metazoa; Chordata; Mammalia; Artiodactyla; Camelidae
Source: RefSeq, a predicted model, not a curated record